CCUACGGGAGGCAGCAGUGGGGAAUAUUGGGCAAUGGUCGCAAGCCUGACCCAGCAACGCCGCGUGAAGGAAGAAGGCUUUCGGGUUGUAAACUUCUUUUCUCAGGGACGAAGAAAGUGACGGUACCUGAGGAAUAAGCCACGGCUAACUACGUGCCAGCAGCCGCGGUAAGACGUAGGUGGCAAGCGUUAUCCGGAUUUACUGGGUUUAAAGGGCGUGUAGGCGGGAAGGCAAGUCAGAUGUGAAAACCAUGGGCUCAACCUGUGGCCUGCAUUUGAAACUGUUUUUCUUGAGUACUGGAGAGGCAGACGGAAUGCGUAGUGUAGCGGUGAAAUGCGUAGAUAUUAGGAGGAACACCAGUGGCGAAGGCGGUCUGCUGGACAGCAACUGACGCUGAGGCGCGAAAGCGUGGGGAGCAAACAGGAUUAGAUACCCGUGUAGUC
RNAcentral lists this ribosomal RNA (443 nucleotides) under uncultured bacterium. Its description in RNAcentral is "partial 16S ribosomal RNA". It matches the Rfam family "Bacterial small subunit ribosomal RNA", at positions 338 to 795 of the family's 1533-position model. The record is from RNAcentral.